AUGAGAAUAUUGAAUUUUGUUUUCCUUGAGCUAAUUUACACAAUUUUUAUGUACAUAAUCUUGAUCGAAACAUUAGUUUUGUUGUUGAUGGCAGGCUUAGAAAAGUGUACUGUUAUUUGGACUUGUGAAGAGUGCAGUGACUACUUUACAAGGUCAUCAGCUAACUCAAAAGGCUGGCGAGAGGUUUUCAGCUCAUUGCCUGGAGAGAUUGUUCUUGCUUCUUUUGAUGGAUUUGGUAUGUGGUCCACUUUUUAUGUCAUACUUGAGGCCUAUACACUAAAAAUAGUUAGUUACUGCUGCGCUUCUGCUUGUAUAAGGUAG
RNAcentral lists this ribosomal RNA (321 nucleotides) under Triticum aestivum (bread wheat). RNAcentral describes it as "partial small subunit ribosomal RNA". The record is from RNAcentral. Lineage: Eukaryota; Viridiplantae; Streptophyta; Magnoliopsida; Poales; Poaceae.